UUACAUUUGAGUGAGUGGCGAACUGGUGAGUAACACGUGGGAAACCUGCCCAGAAGCGGGGGAUAACACCUGGAAACAGAUGCUAAUACCGCAUAACAACUUGGACCGCAUGGUCCGAGUUUGAAAGAUGGCUUCGGCUAUCACUUUUGGAUGGUCCCGCGGCGUAUUAGCUAGAUGGUGRGGUAACGGCUCACCAUGGCAAUGAUACGUAGCCGACCUGAGAGGGUAAUCGGCCACAUUGGGACUGAGACACGGCCCAAACUCCUACGGGAGGCAGCAGUAGGGAAUCUUCCACAAUGGACGAAAGUCUGAUGGAGCAACGCCGCGUGAGUGAAGAAGGGUUUCGGCUCGUAAAACUCUGUUGUUAAAGAAGAACAUAUCUGAGAGUAACUGUUCAGGUAUUGACGGUAUUUAACCAGAAAGCCACGGCUAACUACGUGCCAGCAGCCGCGGUAAUACGUAGGUGGCAAGCGUUGUCCGGAUUUAUUGGGCGUAAAGCGAGCGCAGGCGGUUUUUUAAGUCUGAUGUGAAAGCCUUCGGCUCAACCGAAGAAGUGCAUCGGAAACUGGGAAACUUGAGUGCAGAAGAGGACAGUGGAACUCCAUGUGUAGCGGUGAAAUGCGUAGAUAUAUGGAAGAACACCAGUGGCGAAGGCGGCUGUCUGGUCUGUAACUGACGCUGAGGCUCGAAAGUAUGGGUAGCAAACAGGAUUAGAUACCCUGGUAGUCCAUACCGUAAACGAUGAAUGCUAAGUGUUGGAGGGUUUCCGCCCUUCAGUGCUGCAGCUAACGCAUUAAGCAUUCCGCCUGGGGAGUACGGCCGCAAGGCUGAAACUCAAAGGAAUUGACGGGGGCCCGCACAAGCGGUGGAGCAUGUGGUUUAAUUCGAAGCUACGCGAAGAACCUUACCAGGUCUUGACAUACUAUGCAAAUCUAAGAGAUUAGACGUUCCCUUCGGGGACAUGGAUACAGGUGGUGCAUGGUUGUCGUCAGCUCGUGUCGUGAGAUGUUGGGUUAAGUCCCGCAACGAGCGCAACCCUUAUUAUCAGUUGCCAGCAUUAAGUUGGGCACUCUGGUGAGACUGCCGGUGACAACCGGAGGAAGGUGGGGAUGACGUCAAAUCAUCAUGCCCCUUAUGACCUGGGCUAC
RNAcentral lists this ribosomal RNA (1148 nucleotides) under Lactiplantibacillus plantarum. Its description in RNAcentral is "bacterial SSU rRNA". The record is from RNAcentral. Lineage: Bacteria; Bacillati; Bacillota; Bacilli; Lactobacillales; Lactobacillaceae.